RNAcentral lists this ribosomal RNA (743 nucleotides) under Entacmaea quadricolor. RNAcentral's name for it is "partial small subunit ribosomal RNA". It matches the Rfam family "Bacterial small subunit ribosomal RNA", at positions 456 to 1423 of the family's 1533-position model. Lineage: Eukaryota; Metazoa; Cnidaria; Anthozoa; Actiniaria; Actiniidae. The record is from RNAcentral.
AAACGAAAGUAUGACACAGAGAGGACACAUUUAAUUGAGCCCGUCAAAUUAAGUGCCAGCCGACGCGGUUAAACUUAAGGGCUGGUCUUUAUAAGUAAAAAGGCGUAAAGGAUGUGUAGGCCAAGAAACGACCCAAGUAGGUAAAUGGAAUUUUUCUGGAGCGGUAGAAUGUGAGAAUAGAAAAUAGAACCCCUAAGGUAAAAACUAUUUACCACAAGGUAGGCUGAAACAUGAGAGUGUGGGGAGCAAACAGGAUUAGAGACCCUGGUAGUCCACACUGUGAACUUUGAAGAUGAUGCUUAGCAAACCCGAAAGGUAAAAUCUUCCGCCUGAGUAGUACGAUCGCAAGAUUAAAAUUCAAAAACUUUGGCUGUUCACUAUUUCGAUUAGAGGAGCGUGUAGUUUAAUUCGAUGGUCCGCGUGUUACCUUACCCCAACUUGAACCUGUGACCGGUAUUGCAUGGCCGUCGUAAGUUCGUGUAUUAAGCUAGAAGGGACCCAACCCGGGCAUUUGCCCGGAGGAAGUCAGGUCUUAUGAUCCGAAUGUUGGGGGAUUUUAUGCGCUACAUUUUCUUAUAUAAUGAGAAACCUGGAAGGUGAGUCUCUAAAGUAAGAGUUCGGAAGGUCGCUGUAAGACGACUGGAAGUUGGAUUUAAUAGUAAUCGGAAAGUAGGGCGUUCCGGUGAAUUGGUACAAGUGUUAGCACAAAUUGCCCGUCACCUUUACUUAGAAUGGUUAUUCGG